RNAcentral lists this ribosomal RNA (1361 nucleotides) under metagenome. RNAcentral's name for it is "SSU rRNA". It matches the Rfam family "Eukaryotic small subunit ribosomal RNA", at positions 1 to 1420 of the family's 1831-position model. The record is from RNAcentral.
UCUGGUUGAUCCUGCCAGUAGUCAUAUGCUUGUCUCAAAGAUUAAGCCAUGCAUGUCUAAGUAUAAAUAGUAUACAGUGAAACUGCGAAUGGCUCAUUAAAACAGUUAUAGUUUAUUUGAUAAUUGACAAUUACAUGGAUAACCGUGGUAAUUCUAGAGCUAAUACAUGCUUAAACGCCCGACUUUAUGGAAGGGUGGUAUUUAUUAGACUGAAGCCAAUAUUCCUUGUGUCUAUUGCGGUGAUUCAUAAUAACUGAUCGAAUCUCUUUUUGAGAUAAAUCAUUCAAGUUUCUGCCCUAUCAGCUUUCGAUGGUAGUGUAUUGGACUACCAUGGCAGUAACGGGUAACGAAGAAUUAGGGUUCGAUUUCGGAGAGGGAGCAUGAGAAACGGCUACCACAUCUAAGGAAGGCAGCAGGCGCGUAAAUUACCCAAUCCUGACUCAGGGAGGUAGUGACAAGAAAUAGCAAACCGGGAACCUCAUGGUUUCACGGUAUUGCAAUGAGAACAAUUUAAAACCCUUAGCGAGAAUCAAGUGGAGGACAAGUCUGGUGCCAGCACCCGCGGUAAUUCCAGCUCCACUAGCGUAUAUUAAAGUUGUUGCAGUUAAAAAGCUCGUAGUUGAACCUCUGUCUGGGGCUAGUUUUGGCUUUGGUCAGGCUAGUUUUAGGCAUCCGCCUACAAGACUUAGAGGGCAUUCAGUUGUUCACUAGGAGGAGUAGGCAUUUUACUUUGAAAAAAUUAGAGUGUUUAAGGCAGGCAAUCGCCCGCAUAUAUUAGCAUGGAAUAAUAGAAUAGGACACUUUUCCAUUUCGUUGGUUAUUGGAAUCGUGUAAUGAUUAAUAGGGACAGUUGUGGGCAUUUGUAUUUAAUUGUCAGAGGUGAAAUUCUUGGAUUUAUUAAAGACAAACUAACGCGAAAGCAUUUGCCAAGGAUGUUUUCAUUAAUCAAGAACGAAAGUUAGGGGAUCAAAGACGAUCAGAUACCGUCCUAGUCUUAACUAUAAACUAUUCCGACUCAAUGUUUGACUGGCUUAUAUAACCAGUUGAGCGUUGUAUGAGAAAUCAAAGUCUUUAGGUUCUGGGGGGAGUAUGGUUGCAAAGCUGAAACUUAAAGGAAUUGACGGAAGAGCACAACCAGGAGUGGAUUCUGCGGCUUAAUUUGACUCAACACGGGGAAACUUACCAGGUUAAAACAAUAGUGGGAUUGACAGUUUGAGAGCGCUUUCUUGAUUGGUUGGGUGGUGGUGCAUGGCCGUUCUUAGUUGGUGGAGUGAUUUGUCUGCUUAAUUGCGUUAACGAACGAGACCUUAACCUGCUUACUAGACUGGCGAUCAUCAAUCGUUAGCUCUUCUUAGAGGGAC